RNAcentral lists this ribosomal RNA (355 nucleotides) under uncultured bacterium. Its description in RNAcentral is "bacterial SSU rRNA". It matches the Rfam family "Bacterial small subunit ribosomal RNA", at positions 527 to 881 of the family's 1533-position model. The record is from RNAcentral.
GUAGGGGGCAAGCGUUAUCCGGAUUUACUGGGUGUAAAGGGAGCGUAGACGGUGUGGUAAGUCUGAUGUGAAAGGCAUGGGCUCAACCUGUGGACUGCAUUGGAAACUGUCAUACUUGAGUGCCGGAGGGGUAAGCGGAAUUCCUAGUGUAGCGGUGAAAUGCGUAGAUAUUAGGAAGAACACCAGUGGCGAAGGCGGCUUACUGGACAGUAACUGACGUUGAGGCUCGAAAGCGUGGGGAGCAAACAGGAUUAGAUACCCUGGUAGUCCAUGCCGUAAACGAUGAAUACUAGGUGUUGGUGAGCAAAGCUCAUCGGUGCCGCCGCAAACGCAAUAAGUAUUCCACCUGGGGAGU